UUAAAUGAAGUUGACGGGGCCCGCACAAGCGGUGGAGCAUGUGGUUUAAUUCGAAGCAACGCGAAGAACCUUACCAGGUCUUGACAUCCCCUGACAACCCGAGAGAUCGGCGUUCCCCGUUCGGGGGACAGGGUGGACAGGUGGUGCAUGGUUGUCGUCAGCUCGUGUCGUGAGAUGUUGGGUUAAGUCCCGCAACGAGCGCAACCCUUGUCAUUAGUUGCUACGAAAGGGCACUCUAAUGAGACUGCCGGUGACAAACCGGAGGAAGGUGGGGAUGACGUCAAGUCCUCAUGGCCCUUAUAGGUGGGGCUACACACGUCAUACAAUGGCUGGUACAAAGGGUUGCCAACCCGCGAGGGGGAGCCAAUCCCAUAAAGCCAGUCGUAGUCCGGAUCGCAGUCUGCAACUCGACUGCGUGAAGUCGGAAUCGCUAGUAAUCGUGGAUCAGCAUGUCACGGUGAAUACGUUCCCGGGUCUU
This 478-nucleotide ribosomal RNA is filed under the name uncultured Peptococcaceae bacterium. RNAcentral's name for it is "bacterial SSU rRNA". It matches the Rfam family "Bacterial small subunit ribosomal RNA", at positions 903 to 1382 of the family's 1533-position model. The record is from RNAcentral. Lineage: Bacteria; Bacillati; Bacillota; Clostridia; Eubacteriales; Peptococcaceae.